UGUCGAAUUGCCUGAUGCCGACACUGGUCCUCGUGGCGAACUAAAUAGUACGCUAACGUACACGGACACGUCUAAAAGAUUCCGUCUCUGCCUUCGUUUCACUAGUUUUGUCUGUGUUUUCUUUGAGGAGUCAUUUGAAACGCGGUUCGUUGAGUGCGAGAAACGAACACUUUCUUUCCCCCUUUUGCGAGUAAGACCUGCAGGAUUCGAUUGCCCUGACUACGAGAAAUGGUACAGACGACCAAACACAAACGGAGGACUUUAUGAUUCAGCUGAGGCUUCUGAGGAUGGAGUUCGUUAUCGCCAGCGACUGGAGUUGAAGGAUAUGAAUGAGGACCACAUCAUUUAAUUUACAGGUAACCACGCUUGUCGUGCUGGCAUUAAUACCAUGGCCUGGCCCUACUGUGUUUAAGAUAUCAUGUCCACGUGAUCACGCAUCUGUUGUGCGGAAGGUUGUUCAAAAGAAAUGGAUACCAGUGCUGGAGAAGUAUCAAGUCUCAAUUCCUCUCGAGUGUCCCUUUCAUCCUGUGAGAGACAUAUAUUGGCCUCAACAGUCUGCCAAACAGCAACAUCGGUCUUCUCAGUGGACAUGUGGAAUAUGUGGGAAAUCAUUUUAUGAAGAACGUUUUCUAGACAAGCAUUUUGACAAUAGGCACAAAAACCAAAUUAAUAUGGCUGAAGAUGCAGUAUGCCUAGCUGAUUAUUGUGACAUCAUGCGAUGUGAGGUACUAAUGACACAAGAAGUUGGAAGUGGUGAAUCAGGAGAAUCCAGUCAGGGAAACACUGACAUUGAAGUGUGGAGUGAGUCAACAGCUUAUCGCACUGCACUGUCACCUUCCGGACCUCGAGACCUUGCUCGUGUGCUGUUUAGGAGAGGACCAUAUACUGAACAUGACAGACAGCCACAGGAAGCACAAGGGUCCACACCAAGUACACAACCCAGUGAGAAUCACUGCCCUCGCACUUCGCAACCACCAACUUCAGAACAGCAUCAGCAGCCUCAAGCGACUUCUGACACUGACACAAAUACUUCUGCACCGGAUACCUGUGACAGCGGAAACCUUGUUGACUCAUCAGUGCCUCCAGGAGAUCGUAAGCAACAAAGACUGAGUGAGCUGCAGAGACUCAAAGCCAACUGCAAACCAGAAGAACUUCAAGGCCUUAAACUUCGGUGUGAGAUUCUUGUGAGAGAUUGCAUAGCAGGUUUAUUAGUAAACUUGUCCAUCCAAAAUUUUAAGGAAGUUGAAGAGGAGUUGAAUCGUGCUGUGUGUUGGUACCUCACUUGUGACCGCUACUGGGAAGAUUCUCCCAAUGAUUCUAGACAUUUUCCUUGGGGCCUUGUCUUUGUGUUGGUUAUGGUGCUUUCUCUUGGUAUCUGCCUCUGCUACUACAUAAUAUGGGUUCUGUUUGAUUCUGAUGACCAAAGUGUUGCCAGCACAAGUGCCACUGCAACGGCUACUUCGUCUCCAGUGCAUCAUGCAAAUUCAACUAAUAGGCCUUUAUACUCAGAGGAAUAUUACACAGUUCCAGAAAUAAAUGAUAUGGGACAAAAUGAACAUUAUAUUUAUGUAACAUAUCCACCAGAACUAAAAAGGAGAUUGUUAGAAAGGUGUUGAUUGUGGAAGAACCUUGACCAAGCACUUAACCCACCGUCUUUAUCAUUUGAUGGCUGUGUGGAGUUAAUAAGCUACUCUUCUCUAUGAAGUUCCUGUGGCAGCUGCUACAAUAGAACCACAAGACUGUGAGUGGCAAGUGGUCAAGAGUGGAUUCGAGUAAGUGGACUAGUUUGUUGGUCCUACUUUGAAUACAAAAUAAUAAUGGUUAUGGUUUCAGUUUAGUAUACAUUCUCAAAGAGAGAACAAACAUUUUUUAAAUUUUUCUGUAGAGUCUUUUAUUGGUAAUUUAUUCUUCAUUUGACUUGUGCCACAUAUGUUACAGAUUGUUUUAGCACUAAAUGAAGAGGGGCAUCCAUAAAUGUAUUACAGAUUAUUGUACUAUCACACUGCAGCUCAAUAAAUGAACAAAGAAGUUCAACAUGCUAAGUGUAAAAUUCAAUAAUUAAUGCUGCAUAGCUUUAGAGUGAAAAUUAAUCUGGAAUAUUGAGAGUUAUAAAACUGUUCACCUGUUCACAUUUCCAUAGUCCUUUGCUAGAAAGGAGUAUGGCUCUAUCUGAGAAAGUAAAAUCAUUAUAAAAGCAGUCAUUCACAACAUAAUAUACCAGUUUUCUCUAAGUAUACAUGAUUUAAAGUAUGAACAUCAUUGUGUGGACACAAAUAAAGGACUGUGUUGUAUUUAUGCACAUAGGAUUUUUUUCUGAGAUGUGUCUCUGCUAUUUAAGCCUUGUGGGGACCAGUACCAUUGAUUUAAUGGGCAUGCUGUUUGCAGCGUGAUGCCAUAACUACAAAUCAGGAUUUUGUGGUAUCACAAUAAUGUUUAUUUUUACAUUUAUAGUUUAGUCUAAAGCACUUGCUCCUUAUAUAGUAACAGUCCCACAUGACUACUCAAAAUUCAGGAUGAAUUUGUAGGAGCAAUGUCAAAGAUCUCUUAACAGAUACUUCCUGUUAAAGAAAAGAAUUUGUGGAGAAAUUCUCUUCUAAAUUAAAAUGACAAAUAUUUGAUUUCUCUCAAAUUAAAAAAUGGAUGUUAUAAAUAACAUACUAUAAGAAGGCAACACAUUACAAGAAUAAAGGUGGAGAAAGGAACAUCGACCAUCUAAAACAUGGACUUCGUCACUACUACAUUUCUACGUGCAAAGUCAUGAUAGAUACUGGCAAUCCAUUAAACAAUCAUAUAGCGCAGAAUGUCACAAUCAUAGUUUCAAUUUAUCAGUUCUAUGUAGUAGCUCUGUGCUACGAACACAUACAUAGGAAUGUAAUUUUGAACUUGUGUACAUGAAUAAUAUUAUGUGAGAAAUAGCCAUACUUACUCUCAGUGAUAAAUUAUAAAGAGAAAACAGAAGUACAAGAAAUUGUACAACAUUAUACUCUAGAAUCUAUGAGCAUUUUUUCUGGACUGAUGAAAAAAUAAUAACUUUCAUGUUUCAGAUUGCCAUAAAGUUCUAAUCCAUUGACCACUCAUGAAUCAAAACUACCCUGUUCAUUAGCUUUCCCUGGCUCUAUAUUAACUGGCAAAACAUAAAAUACUAAGAUUUCAACCAACAAUCAAAGCAAAUGUUUAAUUUACAUGUUUAAGUGAAAUCUCUAUCUGAAAAUCCUGCAUUGUAAUCAUUUUGUAACAGGGGAGAUUCACAGAAAAUGCAUAUAAUCAACAAGAGAUCCAAACAGUGAAAGGCUAUUAAAAUAAUAAUUUGAUGUGAUCUUGUGUAAGAGGCCUGGUCAAUACCCUAUUUUGCUAUGCAAAAAAAAAAAAAAAAAAAAAAAAAAAAAAACUACAAGCUGAUGUAAUCUCAGGCAAAAAGCCUAUAUCGGUAGCAUAAAUGUAAUUCAGCUGUAAAGACAUUAUUGGAAGUAAGUACUGUCUCUUUAGAAAAAUCUCUCAGACAAUCAUUUUGCAACCUUCCCUUCUAGAGCAAAUGUUUUGGGCUUAGCGGACAAUGAUUGUUUCUUAAUAUCUCUCCCUCUCCACAUAUUAUUUGCCUCAUUUUACAGCUUACAUUUCAUAAACAGGGUGUUAUUUGUUGCAUGUACAUCCCUAAUAUUUAGAAAAGAGUUCAACAAGGAAUUUCACAAAUGAUAACAUAUAUAGUAGAAAAUAUUCUGACU
This is an RNA transcript of Schistocerca piceifrons (Central American locust), 3722 nucleotides long. RefSeq lists it as uncharacterized. The transcript has 10 exons. NCBI's taxonomy places the organism in Eukaryota, Metazoa, Arthropoda, Insecta, Orthoptera, Acrididae. The record is from RefSeq and is a predicted model, not a curated record.